GAUGAACGCUGGCGGCGUGCCUAAUACAUGCAAGUCGAGCGAACAGACGAGGAGCUUGCUCCUCUGACGUUAGCGGCGGACGGGUGAGUAACACGUGGAUAACCUACCUAUAAGACUGGGAUAACUUCGGGAAACCGGAGCUAAUACCGGAUAAUAUAUUGAACCGCAUGGUUCAAUAGUGAAAGACGGUUUUGCUGUCACUUAUAGAUGGAUCCGCGCCGCAUUAGCUAGUUGGUAAGGUAACGGCUUACCAAGGCAACGAUGCGUAGCCGACCAGAGGGUGAUCGGCCACACUGAACUGAGACACGGUCCAGACUCCUACGGGAGGCAGCAGUAGGGAAUCUUCCGCAAUGGGCGAAAGCUUGACGGAGCAACGCCGCGUGAGUGAUGAAGGUCUUCGGAUCGUAAAACUCUGUUAUUAGGGAAGAACAAAUGUGUAAGUAACUAUGCACGUCUUGACGGUACCUAAUCAGAAAGCCACGGCUAACUACGUG
This 494-nucleotide ribosomal RNA is filed under the name uncultured bacterium. RNAcentral's name for it is "partial 16S ribosomal RNA". It matches the Rfam family "Bacterial small subunit ribosomal RNA", at positions 28 to 507 of the family's 1533-position model. The record is from RNAcentral.